Ixodes scapularis (black-legged tick) is the source of this 3137-nucleotide long non-coding RNA. RefSeq lists it as uncharacterized. Lineage: Eukaryota; Metazoa; Arthropoda; Arachnida; Ixodida; Ixodidae. The transcript is spliced from 4 exons. The record is from RefSeq and is a predicted model, not a curated record.
UUUUCGUUAUUUUUACUUUGUUGACGUAUUAUUUUUUUUUAUUUUGUUUAUUUUCUUGCUUUUUGCAACCGCGUGAACGCGUUUUCUGCGCUACAGACUGUGUUUUUCCGACUCCUUUGUUUGAUAUCGUGUCGUAUCGCCGUAUUUAUGGAGUUAUUAGGAACGGCAAGCCUACGUUGUUGCGUCCUUUACCUGAAUAUCGUGACCGAAUCGAGUGUCGUCGAUUUGAAUCGUGUCUUGCGAACCAUCGUCGAACAAAAGGUCAUGGCUGGUCGCGGUUCAUCAGCGUUUGUUUUGAAACUGAUGGGUACCACAAGGCAUGAAAGAGGUGACUUGCAGCAGCAAGACACUGCAAGCCUUCGCAGCAACUGGCUAGCCAGUGCUGCUCUGUUCUGAACUGCACUGCGUGUCAUGCGGAGGGUUUGUGCAAGCUCUCUGGGCAGCGACGCUAGCCACGAUUGGCUUCAUGGAUGCACAGAAAUACUCAAGGCGCUUGACGUCUGUGGCUCAUCUGUAUUGUUUUUCCCGGUACCACGGCAUGGAAGGAGCUGGCCUCCCUCCCUUCCAUCAGCUGCGAUAUACUACAAGCACUGGGCUACAGCUGCAGCUAGCCCAUGGGUACCGUUCUGCGUCCUGUACUGCAUCUAGUUUGAAAGGCCAUGUGAAAGGCAGGUGUGGUCUUUAUGGGCUCUGUCACUAUGUACAUUUUCUGCAGCUUUUUCGGGGCAACUUCAUAUUAAGAUUCAAUACGGACUUGAGUGAGAGGGGGGCAUUCUGAGAAAGCCAGCCUCUUUCUUAAACCAUUGGGACUGGUAUUAUAUCUAUAGAGUUUAUUUACACCUUACGUUAUGUACUUUUUUAUUUAUUUUUAUUUUGCUAGUUACUUAUACUUCAAUCUGACACGACAGCCACCAAAAAUGGGGAAAGGACAAAAAUGUUGACAUAUUGGCCUUUUUUUUUUCUGGCAGUUUCUUUGAAGAGUCAAUGUUGGGGGCAGUCAUUCAUGUUAUUUUUCCCACACGCACGUCCAUCCUAUGUUUACGUAGAGCCCCAAUUGCCCCUUAGCAACAAAAAUAAUUUAUGCGACAGACUAGGCGGCAGCAUUGCGGACGAAAACAGGCCAGAUUAUAUCUGCCAUGUUUAAAAACUACAUUUGGUGACAGGUUAUGAAUUCAGUGGCAAAAUGCACACCGCCUGCCAAUCACUGCCGUCAGUUGUCGUGACGUCACGUCCUGCUAAGAAACUAGAAACCAGUAUAUAUUUUUUUUAAAUGGCAGGUUUUGGUUGCUGAUGCCACGUAGCACGUCGGCACUCUAAGCAAUUCUUCUGCUCUUGGCCUCCGGUUUUACCUUGCAAAGUCAUGACGGUGUCUGCUUUUGUUUGCGGUAUUUCCCGUGUGUCGACGUGAGAAGGCAGCGGUUGUAUCGCCAAGGAAGUAGCGAUCAAUCUGCGCAUUUGUUCCAGCGGCAUAGCAUUUACAAACCGGACUUUGCCCUUCACCGAGGAGAAAGUCUACCGACUGGCCCCACAGUUGGCGAGCAUUGUGCAGCCGUGAGCGCGUAACUUGUCCGAAUGCUUUCGUCUGUGUACAGUGACAAAAGGACUCGGUGAAAUGCGAAGUACCAUACAGUACCAUGCCGUACAGCAAACCAUCAAUCGCUGCAGCAACUUUGCGUUUUAAGUCAUAAUAAUAAAGUGAUUUUUAGGCUAAAAUCAUUUUUUCAUACUGCUCAAUUAUUCGGAAUUCUGCACGAUCCCCAUUGGGUCUACAAUAUCGGUCGGUGGCUGUAUAACCUUUAAACUCAAUGGUUACACACCACAGGUACCGGGGACCAUGACAUCAAUGAGCUGGCUUUCACCUUGUCCAAGGCAGCAGCGGAACACUACGGGCGGGACCCUGGAUCACUGCACCAUGGAUGCCGUCCUGUACCCUUCACGGCACUGCGUGUGGCUUAAAGGGGUCAUGAAACGCUUUUCCAACUUUUUCCUGUUUCGCUUUCCUCCUCAACUCAUAAAUCGCGCAUUCCACCAAACAGAAGACGAAAAGGGGGAGUCCCCUCUUGCUCGCACUCUCGUUUGUGUAAUCCCGGACACAUCCAUUCUCCCCCUAGAAGAUUAGCCCGUCGCUCAAAAUUCAGACAAAAGUUGCUUUCCCCACCCCGUUCAUUCCGAAGCUGACAGUGCUGUUGAAGCUACGUGCUCGUUAGGCCAGCCACACUUGCCACGUGAGCGUGGCAAAUGUGGCUGCAGAGAAUGAAGUCAGGUGAUGAAAGGGAGGCGGCUGAUUGGUCCGGCAAGCGCGUAGCUUCCACCACAAUGUCAGCUUAGGGGUGAAGGGAAUAAGUGAGGUCCGGUUGCGUGUGACGUCAGUUUGGACCCGAUAACGCGCUUUUGGGACCGCGGAUGUAUCACAGUGAAAAGGCAGAGAGAUUGCGAAGGGGAGGAGGUACGAAAUAGUCCGUUCUGUUUUCAAAUUUUCGCACUGAAACUCAGGCUUUUGACUUUCUACCUUUUUUCUUUUGGUCCACUGAACGAUGUGCUAUUAGUAAAAUCCCAAUCUAAAAUGAUUUAUCCCAACCCAAAAAUCGUUUCAUGGGCCCUUUAAGUGGCCAAGCAGAGGGUCAUUGCAUGACUUUUAUGAGGCGCCGCUAGCCAUUGUUUCAAACCGCCCUGAAUCGUGGAUCAAGCCUUGCAAGAUGGAAGUUCUCUUUAGGCCCAGCGCCUCUUGAUGGAUAAAGUCUUGUACCCAAUUCCCUCGUGUCUUUCAUAUAAGUAAAUUGUUGGUAUUUCUUUUAUGACAGUGCACGUUACCUGCCGACCACGUUUUACAGUUGAAACGCAGUGUACCGAAACUUCUUUUAUAUAGACACCUUUCUUUGCAAACGCCACCAGGCGGUGCUUCAGUUUGUUUGACGUCUCAGCAAACUUCUGAUUCAUAACAAGAAUGAACAAAACCCACUUUGACACUGCUGCCUAAAAUGUCGAUAAAACGUGUAACCACCAAUUCUCCAGGUGAGCGCCAAAAGAAUGAAGAAACGGGAGAUAUGUUAAAAUGGUUCAAAUAUUUUGUACACCAACUUGCCUCCUCCAAGACAUUAAAUUGUACAGCCAAAUUAGAGCGCAGCUCUUGAGGAGGA